This 662-nucleotide ribosomal RNA is filed under the name Euryhaliotrema mehen. Its description in RNAcentral is "bacterial SSU rRNA". It matches the Rfam family "Eukaryotic small subunit ribosomal RNA", at positions 152 to 742 of the family's 1831-position model. The record is from RNAcentral. Lineage: Eukaryota; Metazoa; Platyhelminthes; Monogenea; Dactylogyridea; Ancyrocephalidae.
GUGAUUCUUCAGCUGAUACAUGCCUCGAUGCCCUGAUCCGCAAGGUGAGGGGUGCAGUUAUUAGAUCUCAAACCAAUUGGGUUCGGUCGUGGUUUGGGAUGACUCUGGAUAACUUUGUAUGAUCGCAGCUGGCCUUGUUGCCGGCGAUGGAUCCAUCAAAUAUCUGCCCUAUCGACUUCCGAUGGUAGGUGAUAUGCCUACCAUGGUUAUGACCGGUAACCGGGAAUCAGGGAGCGAUUCCGGAGAGGGAGCCUGAGAAACAGCUACCACAUCCAAGGAAGGCUCCAGGCACGCAAAUUACCCACUCUCUGAACGAGGAGGUACUGAAGAAGGAUAUCGAUACAAAACUCAUAUGAGGCUCUGUAAUCGAAAUGAGUGCAUUUUAAAUCCUACUUCAAGGAUCUUUUGGAGGGCAAGUCUGGAGCCAGCAGCCGCGGUAACUCCAGCUCCAAUAGCAUAUAUUAAAGUUGCUGCAGUUAAAAAGCUCGUAGUUGGAUCUGGGUUGCGCUCUGAUUGCUAGUAUUGUGAGUGUGUUCUUCGGUACGUUCUUCCACACUGGUAUAUUCGAGUGCUGCUUCACGGCUGUGUCUGAAUGCCUUAACGGGUGUUUGGAUACUGUUGGAUGUCUGAGGUGACUCCUUCACGGGGGUUGUUUCGGCUCA